UGAGCAACCUGCCCCUGACUCCGGGAUAAGCGGUGGAAACGCCGUCUAAUACCGGAUACGACCCGCCACCUCAUGGUGGAGGGUGGAAAGGUUUUCGGUCAGGGAUGGGCUCGCGGCCUAUCAGCUUGUUGGUGGGGUAACGGCCUACCAAGGCGAUUACGGGUAGCCGGCCUGAGAGGGCGACCGGCCACACUGGGACUGAGACACGGCCCAGACUCCUGCGGGAGGCAGCAGUGGGGAAUAUUGCGCAAUGGGCGAAAGCCUGACGCAGCGACGCCGCGUGGGGGAUGACGGCCUGCGGGUUGUAAACCUCUUUUACCACCAACGCAGGCCCGGAGUUCUCUUCGGGUUGACGGUAGGUGGGGAAUAAGGACCGGCUAACUACGUGCCAGCAGCCGCGGUAAUACGUAGGGUCCGAGCGUUGUCCGGAAUUAUUGGGCGUAAAGAGCUCGUAGGCGGCGUGUCGCGUCUGCUGUGAAAGACCGGGGCUUAACUCCGGUUCUGCAGUGGAUACGGGCAUGCUAGAGGUAGGUAGGGGAGACUGGAAUUCCUGGUGUAGCGGUGAAAUGCGCAGAUAUCAGGAGGAACACCGGUGGCGAAGGCGGGUCUCUGGGCCUUACCUGACGCUGAGGAGCGAAAGCAUGGGGAGCGAACAGGAUUAGAUACCCUGGUAGUCCAUGCCGUAAACGUUGGGCGCUAGGGGUGGGGACUUUCCACGGUUUCCGCGCCGUAGCUAACGCAUUAAGCGCCCCGCCUGGGGAGUACGGCCGCAAGGCUAAAACUCAAAGGAAUUGACGGGGGCCCGCACAAGCGGCGGAGCAUGUUGCUUAAUUCGACGCAACGCGAAGAACCUUACCAAGGUUUGACAUCACCCGUGGACUCGCAGAGAUGUGAGGUCAUUUAGUUGGCGGGUGACAGGUGGUGCAUGGCUGUCGUCAGCUCGUGUCGUGAGAUGUUGGGUUAAGUCCCGCAACGAGCGCAACCCUUGUUCCAGGUUGCCAGCACGUAAUGGUGGGGACUCAUGGGAGACUGCCGGGGUCAACUCGGAGGAAGGUGGGGAUGACGUCAAGUCAUCAUGCCCCUUAUGUCUUGGGCUGCAAACAUGCUACAAUGGCCGGUACAAUGGGCGUGCGAUACCGUAAGGUGGAGCGAAUCCCUAAAAGCCGGUCUCAGUUCGGAUUGGGGUCUGCAACUCGACCCCAUGAAGGUGGAGGCGC
RNAcentral lists this ribosomal RNA (1217 nucleotides) under Nocardiopsis dassonvillei. RNAcentral's name for it is "bacterial SSU rRNA". It matches the Rfam family "Bacterial small subunit ribosomal RNA", at positions 118 to 1335 of the family's 1533-position model. The record is from RNAcentral. Lineage: Bacteria; Bacillati; Actinomycetota; Actinomycetes; Streptosporangiales; Nocardiopsidaceae.